Molecule: non-coding RNA, 82 nt
Organism: Megalops atlanticus (tarpon)
Lineage: Eukaryota; Metazoa; Chordata; Actinopteri; Elopiformes; Megalopidae
Source: the annotation of a GenBank genome assembly
GGUGGUGUGGCUGAGGAGUUUAAAGCCUUGACUUAAAGCUUCAGUCUCUCUGGAGGCGAGGGUCUGAAUCCCUCCACUGCCA